RNAcentral lists this ribosomal RNA (823 nucleotides) under uncultured bacterium. RNAcentral describes it as "bacterial SSU rRNA". It matches the Rfam family "Bacterial small subunit ribosomal RNA", at positions 61 to 885 of the family's 1533-position model. The record is from RNAcentral.
GUCGAGCGAAGACUUUGUUUUGAAUCUUCGGAGGAAGAACGAAGUGACUGAGCGGCGGACGGGUGAGUAACGCGUGGGCAACCUGCCUCAUACAGGGGGAUAACAGUUAGAAAUGACUGCUAAUACCGCAUAAGACCACGGUACUGCAUGGUACAGUGGUAAAAACUCCGGUGGUAUGAGAUGGGCCCGCGUCUGAUUAGCUAGUUGGUGAGGUAACGGCUCACCAAGGCAACGAUCAGUAGCCGACCUGAGAGGGUGACCGGCCACAUUGGGACUGAGACACGGCCCAAACUCCUACGGGAGGCAGCAGUGGGGAAUAUUGCACAAUGGGGGAAACCCUGAUGCAGCGACGCCGCGUGAGCGAUGAAGUAUUUCGGUAUGUAAAGCUCUAUCAGCAGGGAAGAAAAUGACGGUACCUGACUAAGAAGCCCCGGCUAACUACGUGCCAGCAGCCGCGGUAAUACGUAGGGGGCAAGCGUUAUCCGGAUUUACUGGGUGUAAAGGGAGCGUAGACGGCGAUGCAAGCCAGAUGUGAAAGCCCGGGGCUCAACCCCGGGACUGCAUUUGGAACUGUAUAGCUAGAGUGUCGGAGAGGCAGGCGGAAUUCCUAGUGUAGCGGUGAAAUGCGUAGAUAUUAGGAGGAACACCAGUGGCGAAGGCGGCCUGCUGGACGAUGACUGACGUUGAGGCUCGAAAGCGUGGGGAGCAAACAGGAUUAGAUACCCUGGUAGUCCACGCCGUAAACGAUGACUACUAGGUGUCGGGCAGCAAAGCUGUUCGGUGCCGCAGCCAACGCAAUAAGUAGUCCACCUGGGGAGUACGU